Vulpes vulpes (red fox) is the source of this 1714-nucleotide long non-coding RNA. Lineage: Eukaryota; Metazoa; Chordata; Mammalia; Carnivora; Canidae. The record is from Ensembl.
GGACACUCUGAGCAGUCAGCAGCCCUCUCCUAACAGUACUGGCACCCGAUCUCCCGCUACCAGUCUCCAGAACCUAGUGAAGGAAAUUUCUGUGGUUAUAAGCCACUUAGUCUACAGGGUUUUUGUUAGAGCAGCCCCAACGAACUAAGACAACUUGCUUAUCCUUUCGCCUUAUUUCUCAAUUGGUUGAGAACUCUGGCAGGGAAGGGGCCGUCUUUUGGACCUUCCCAAAAAGCCCAACACGGGGAGGCUUCUUUGAAUGAGGUAUAAUGUCCGGUUAAUAAGCGAGAGCAAUAAUUCAGCACUGGGGACGUGUUUUCUCUCUUCCAUUCACUUAUUCAUCCCACAUUGACGUGCUAAGCACCCACUACAUGCCUGGCACUUCGCUAGGUACCCGUCAAGUAAGGAUGAGCCAUUGACAGUGGGAGCAAAGGGCCUGAUCAAAACUGAACGGAGUUCUCACGUCCGACCUUCCUCCAGGAGAUUGAACAAGAAGGGGGUAGAGUAAGUGUCAACUGUUUUUGGAGAGCUUGACAGCCAUCUCCCAUUGCUUGGGUUGCAGCACCCUGGUUUUCCUCUAGGGGAUGAGCCGCUUCAUUGUAAGCCACUCUGGUGGGACCGUUGGUCAAGGCACCUGCCCUCCCCUGGCUGAGGGACGAGUCCAUGGUCAAGGUUAUCAUCAAACUCUAGAUGCGGGGAUGGGGAAUCUUCCCCAGAGUGGUGUGGGGCAAAAAACACGCCACAGCUCCCCCAUUCCAGAAGAAAGUCCUUGAAGAAGUCUUGCUCCCUAGACACUAGACACAUGGGACUGCUCGAGUUCUUCCCCCUUCCCUCCCUCUCUGCUUCUCUCUUCCACGCAGAGUUCCCGAUCCCCCAGCUGCGCUCAACAUCAGCCUGUUGCAUGUUUUUCAACAUAAAUCAGCCAGAGUUGGUUGCCUUUGCGAGAGAAAAUACCAUCACGACUGGCGGCACAUGGACUGGUGAGGGGCUAAGGUGGAGUGUGGGUGACGUCGCGGCGGCCUGCAGUCACCUCUCGCCCAGACCGUCCUUACCUCUGCGAGUCAGGCCCACAAACCACAGGACAGGGUCCGGAUGCAAACCCCACUCCCUUCCACCCGGCCCCAUCCAUCCCCCAUGGGGUUCAUUUUCCCCAUCCAACCCGGCAGAUGGGACUUCCCAAGGCAUCCCUGUCACUGUAUAUUCGUUGCAGUGUUCAUUUUCAUGUUUUCAGGAAAAUAUAGCCAACUUCAUUCAAAUUUUCUCUCUCUCUCUCUCCAUCUCACUAUUCCAGUGAUUAUUUCUUUUGGAAAUAAUUCCCCUGCCGCUCUGCCUCCGCAGACCUCCAAAUCCUGGCAGAAGGAACGAGGCUCCCGAGGAGUGCACAGCCUGGACAGACGAACCAGGGCCGCAGAGCCACCGCUGGCAAGACACGGUCACACCUGCAGAGCAAAAGCCUCGUCUUUCUCAUCUAUUUUUACUUCUCAGGAGACCCUGGUCCCUCGAGAACUGUUUUCACCUCCUCGGCUCUGCAUACGUGUUUUGCACAUGAUAUGAAAUAGUAACCUUUUGAGUUUCCCACAUCCUGGUAUGCUCUGGACCCACUGGCCACAUUUUUAUACACACACACACCCCACACCCCAGUCUAUGCUAGCUGACUGGCUGGCAAAAGAUAAUAACGUUUAGUGGAGGUCUCUCUCCUUUUUUUUUUUUUUUU